AUGGCUUCAAAGAGGUUUUUGCUUAUUUGGGUGGUUCUCUUUCUUUGUGUGUUGAGUCUUUCUACCAAACCACUAGCAAGGAACAUUCCUAAUGUUUCUAAACUCUCAGUAGGUUCAGAUAAAAUGGUUACGAAUAAAAGAGUGCUUGACCAAGAUACUGGAGGACCUGCAUGUAAGAGGGGAAGAUUGACUUAUACCGUGAGUCGUAUCCCAGAUGAUCCACGUUGCCACCACUAUUAA
This is a non-coding RNA of Vicia faba (fava bean), 240 nucleotides long. Lineage: Eukaryota; Viridiplantae; Streptophyta; Magnoliopsida; Fabales; Fabaceae. The record is from the annotation of a GenBank genome assembly.